Ailuropoda melanoleuca (giant panda) is the source of this 107-nucleotide small nuclear RNA. NCBI's taxonomy places the organism in Eukaryota, Metazoa, Chordata, Mammalia, Carnivora, Ursidae. The record is from Ensembl.
GUGCCUGCUUUGGCAGCACAUAUACUAAAAUCUGAACCAUACCGAGAAGAUGAGCAUGGGCCUUGGGCGAGGAUGACACGCAAGUUUGCAAAGCGUUCCAUAUUUUU